UACGUAGGUGGCAAGCGUUGUCCGGAAUUAUUGGGCGUAAAGCGCGCGCAGGCGGUCCUUUAAGUCUGAUGUGAAAGCCCCCGGCUUAACCGGGGAGGGUCAUUGGAAACUGGUGGACUUGAGUGCAGGAGAGGAGAGUGGAAUUCCACGUGUAGCGGUGAAAUGUGUAGAGAUGUGGAGGAACACCAGUGGCGAAGGCGACUUUCUGGGCUGUAACUGACGCUGAGGCGCGAAAGCGUAGGGAGCAAACAGG
RNAcentral lists this ribosomal RNA (253 nucleotides) under uncultured bacterium. Its description in RNAcentral is "partial 16S ribosomal RNA". It matches the Rfam family "Bacterial small subunit ribosomal RNA", at positions 524 to 776 of the family's 1533-position model. The record is from RNAcentral.